Molecule: long non-coding RNA, 1210 nt
Organism: Trichosurus vulpecula (common brushtail)
Lineage: Eukaryota; Metazoa; Chordata; Mammalia; Diprotodontia; Phalangeridae
Exons: 2
Source: RefSeq, a predicted model, not a curated record
UUCUGCAGUCUUUGAGUGCCAGGCUUGGGCUCUGUCUGGUCUCUUGGGCUUCAGUGCUUGGGCUCUGGCUUUGAGUUCGGGGACUCCGGGCGUUAGCCUCAGGGGCUUUGCUGUGGGGUUAUCUCUGGUGUCCAGGUCUGGCCUCCAGGCCCCUGGCCUUGGUCAUCAGGCUCCAGGCUCCGGCGCCCCAACUCCGGCUGCAGGGGAGCCACUGACUAACGCACAUUGCGCUGAGGACCCACUGUGCGUGUGACAGCGGCUACCGUGCAGCCGGCCCACCACAGGACUGAGAAGGGGGCCAGCCUCCCACCAAAGCGGUCCCGGGUCCUCCCAGAGCCCAGUGGAACAUCAGAACAUCCCUCAGCUUUCAUGAUGGUAGCUCGGAAGGCCAGCAUGAAGUGUGAAACUUGCCAGCCUGGCAAAGGCUAUGCAUCGCAGACGGGCUACCAGCUGGGGCUAGAGGGAGGCCAUCGAUCAGGCUAGCGAUCAGUUUCUCUUCUUCAGGCGUCCUUUGCCUGCCCUGGCCUCCCUGAGCUCUUGGGGCUUGGGACUCGGGACUCUGACGCUCUGAAGGCUUUGCUUGGAAUAGGAGUCUCCCACCUCCAGGUUGAGGUGCCUUCCUGCAGCCCAAAGAGUUCACCUCUUCAGGCACUGGCCUGAGCUCAGCCAGCCUGUCUGAAGGCUCACAAACGGGAUCUUCUGGGAGUUCUUCCUGACUCCCAGCUCUGCAUUCUAGCCCCAUGCCAAGCUGUUUGGACCUCAGUCCCCUGUCCUGUCAGCAGCUGGAUAAUCUGUGGCGGAGGCCAGAAACAUCUGGGUGAAGGUGGAGCCUGCCUGAACCUCGGGGUCACAACUGUCAGCUGCCUGGAUCACUCCCCUGCUCCCUUGGCCCAAAGUUAUGGGUCCAGGUUCCUUCCUCUAGUGGAGUCACUAACUGGAAGGUGUUUGAUGCUUCCACAGGAGGACAGUGUCCAGGGUCAACUUGAGGCUGCCUAUUUUCAGGGGCUGCUUCUAAGUGGUCUGCCCCAGGCUACUAUGAGGUGGAGAUGAUUUCCAGAAGGUCCUUCCUCAGAAAAGCGUCCCUUUGGCAUCUCCUGGGGAGUGCCCUUUGGAAGGGCUGAGGUUGGGGCUCUUGAUUCUGGAACUGUCACCUUGCUUUCAGAGGGUGGCUGGCUUCUCCCACUGCCAAUAAAGAAACGUGAGAGCACAG